UGGUCUUACCUAUAUAUAUAGUUUUAAAUUGAUUGAAUUUAUUUGGUUUUUUUUGGGUGCGGAAUGUGGUUUGCCUCUAAGCAACUUUUGGCAGUGGAAUAUUUGAAUCUCUUCUAUGAUUUUUUUUUCUUUUUCUUUUUAAAGAAUUAUAAAAAUAUAAUUGGUUCAAAUAAUAUAAAUAAUAUAAUGUCAACAAUAAUGAAUAAUUCAGCCAAAACUGUGAGAAGAAGAAGAAGAUAACGAAGGCCAAACAAAACACUUUUUUUUGGUAAGAUGGAUGGAAAGCUAUUUUUUAUGCAUCCUAUCCAGAAUAAUUCGAUAUCUCUUUUUAGACUACCAAACCAAACUCAUGGGCGUUAUUAAAAACGUUUGAAAUUUUAUGCGAGACGAAUCCUCACAAUAUA
RNAcentral lists this long non-coding RNA (404 nucleotides) under Capsella rubella. RNAcentral's name for it is "long non-coding RNA (CRUB_LNC001874)". The record is from RNAcentral. Lineage: Eukaryota; Viridiplantae; Streptophyta; Magnoliopsida; Brassicales; Brassicaceae.